RNAcentral lists this ribosomal RNA (354 nucleotides) under Proteus mirabilis. RNAcentral's name for it is "partial 23S ribosomal RNA". It matches the Rfam family "Bacterial large subunit ribosomal RNA", at positions 1 to 392 of the family's 2925-position model. Lineage: Bacteria; Pseudomonadati; Pseudomonadota; Gammaproteobacteria; Enterobacterales; Morganellaceae. The record is from RNAcentral.
GGUUAAGCGAAUAAGCGUACACGGUGGAUGCCUAGGCAAUCAGAGGCGAUGAAGGACGUGCUAAUCUGCGAAAAGCGUCGGUAAGGUGAUAUGAACCGUUAUACCCGACGAUAUCCGAAUGGGGAAACCCAGUAUCCAAUGGAUACUAUCAUUAACUGAAUCCAUAGGUUAGUGAGGCGAACCGGGAGAACUGAAACAUCUCAGUACCCCGAGGAAAAGAAAUCAACCGAGAUUCCCCUAGUAGCGGCGAGCGAACGGGGAGCAGCCCAGAGUCUUAAUCAAUAACAGUGUCAGGAGAACGGUCUGGAAAGUCCGGCAGUAAAGGGUGAUAGCCCCGUAUCUGAAGAUGCUGUU